This 758-nucleotide long non-coding RNA is filed under the name Nicotiana benthamiana. RNAcentral describes it as "long non-coding RNA (NBEN_LNC005269)". The record is from RNAcentral. Lineage: Eukaryota; Viridiplantae; Streptophyta; Magnoliopsida; Solanales; Solanaceae.
AAAUCGCAGCUGAAAAUUGUGAGCUUAUGAGUGAUUCUUAGAGCACAAAAAUUAUGAGAAAAAGAGAUAGGUCUGCUAGACAAUUUCUGAGUUUGCGAGAUAUUGGUAUGAAGUGGUUUUGCUGAUAUUUAUGGGUUGUUUUGAAACUAAUUUGCUAUUGGUUUGAGGCUGUUUCUGGCUGUCAUUGUUGUUGAGUUUCAGUUUCUUAAUUGCUGCCCUUUCCCUAUAUUUGUCUGCUAUCAAGGUAUUUUUUUAACUAUGUAGUAUAGAAUUAGUUAGAAAAUGUUGUAUAAUAUAUCUAAUGGCCAUGCCUUUUUUUAGUUUCAUGUUCUCUAUUAAAUAGAGUACAUUUCGCAAAGAGAAAUAGACAUAAUUAACUCUUGGGGAUAAGCUAAGAAUGCCACAACUUCCAAAGGGUAAAAGAGGCUCGCCAUAUUAUUUUGAUACUCUUUUCUUCAUAGUCAUUUGGUUAAUUUCUAAUGUUAUUGAAAAUUCGUUAAAGUUCUUUUUAUUCUAGUGAAAGAACUUUGUGAAGGUCUAUUUCUAUUAUCUUAUGCUUCGAUACUAUAUUUACUUUAUCUUCUUCUUUUCUGUUAAAAAUGUAAAGUUUUGUUCUCAUGGUCAGUACCUUAAAAUAUUUUUUUGUCUUAAUUUGUUUAUUUUAUUAUUAUUUCUAUCUGCAAUUAAUUUGAACAAAUGCUUCAGAAUUUGACGGUUAGCCUAUAACUUCUCAUAAGUUUGAUUUGGCUAGACGAUAU